GGAGUUAGCCGGUGCUUCUUCUGUGAGUGAUGUCCUUCCUGCCGGCUAUUAACCCGCAGGCCUUCUUCCUCACUGAAAGUGCUUUACAACCCGAAGGCCUUCUUCACACACGCGGCAUGGCUGGAUCAGGGUUGCCCCCAUUGUCCAAUAUUCCCCACUGCUGCCUCCCGUAGGAGUCUGGGCCGUGUCUCAGUCCCAGUGUGGCUGAUCAUCCUCUCAGACCAGCUACGGAUCGUCGCCUUGGUGAGCCGUUACCUCACCAACCAGCUAAUCCGACAUAGGCUCAUCCGAUAGCGCGAGGCCCGAAGGUCCCCCGCUUUCCCCCGUAGGGCCGUAUGCGGUAUUAGCCUGGGUUUCCCCAGGGUUAUCCCCCACUACCGGGCAGAUUCCUAUGCAUUACUCACCCGUCCGCCGCUCGCCACCAGGGAGCAAGCUCCCCGUGCUGCCGCUCGACUUGCAUGUGUAGCUGCCGCCACGCGUCAUCUGAGCAGAAUACAACACUAGA
Molecule: ribosomal RNA, 505 nt
Filed under: uncultured bacterium
Lineage: Bacteria
Description: partial 16S ribosomal RNA
Source: RNAcentral